AGCCUAAGGAAAAGAUCUUAGGUUAUACCUGCCCAAUGUGUUUUUAUCAAUGGCCGCGGUACUUUGACCGUGCUAAGGUAGCGCAAUCAAUUGGCUCUUAAUUGGGGUCAGGAAUGAAUGGAGUUUACGGGGUUCAACUGUCUCCUAGUUAAUUAUUUGAAAUUACUAUGCAGGUGAAAAAGCCUGUAGUCAGAAAAAGGACGAGAAGACCCUUAGAGUUUCACUUAAUUUGAGUGUUAUUAAAAAUUGCUCAUUAAUAGUUUAGUUGGGGCAACAUAGGAGCAAUAAGUUGAUUAAUCUCCUAAAUAUAAUUAACCGAUAAUUUUAAAUGUGAAUAAACUACCUUAGGGAUAACAGCAUAAUUUUAAAAAUAAGUUUGUGACCUCGAUGUUGGACUAGGAAACUUAAAGGCUAGCCGUCUUUAAGGUAAGUUCUGUUCGAACUAUGUAUUCCU
RNAcentral lists this ribosomal RNA (454 nucleotides) under Felimida sphoni. RNAcentral's name for it is "partial 16S ribosomal RNA". It matches the Rfam family "Archaeal large subunit ribosomal RNA", at positions 1920 to 2666 of the family's 2987-position model. Lineage: Eukaryota; Metazoa; Mollusca; Gastropoda; Nudibranchia; Chromodorididae. The record is from RNAcentral.